This is a non-coding RNA of Micropterus salmoides (largemouth bass), 79 nucleotides long. The record is from the annotation of a RefSeq genome assembly. NCBI's taxonomy places the organism in Eukaryota, Metazoa, Chordata, Actinopteri, Centrarchiformes, Centrarchidae.
AGCGCAUGGCCCGUGGCUUAGUUGGUCAAAGUGCCUGUCUAGUAAACAGGAAUCCUGGGUUCAAAUCCCAGCGGUGCCU